UACGUAGGAUGCAAGCGUUGUCCGGAUUUACUGGGCGUAAAGGGCGCGCAGGCGGCACAUUAAGUACACUCUGAAAUCUCCCUGCUCAACGGGGAGGGUGGAGUGUAGACUGGUGAGCUAGAGGUGGGUAGAGGGUGGUGGAAUUGCUGGUGUAGCGGUGAAAUGCGUAGAGAUGUGGAGGAAUACCGAUGGCGAAGGCAGCCCCCUGGGAUAACACUGACGCUCAUGCACGAAAGCGUGGGGAGCAAACAGG
Molecule: ribosomal RNA, 253 nt
Filed under: uncultured bacterium
Lineage: Bacteria
Description: partial 16S ribosomal RNA
Rfam family: Bacterial small subunit ribosomal RNA
Source: RNAcentral